GGGUUGUGAGGUUAAGCGACUAAGCGUACACGGUGGAUGCCCUGGCAGUCAGAGGCGAUGAAGGGCGUGCUAAUCUGCGAUAAGCGCCGGUAAGGUGAUAUGAACCGUUAUAACCGGCGAUACCCGAAUGGGGAAACCCAGUGUGACUCGUCACACUAUCAUUAACUGAAUCCAUAGGUUAAUGAGGCGAACCGGGGGAACUGAAACAUCUAAGUACCCCGAGGAAAAGAAAUCAACCGAGAUUCCCCCAGUAGCGGCGAGCGAACGGGGAGGAGCCCAGAGCCUGAAUCAGCAUAUGUGUUAGUGGAAGCGUCUGGAAAGGCGCGCGAUACAGGGUGACAGCCCCGUACACAAAAGCGCAUGUGCUGUGAGCUCGAUGAGUAGGGCGGGACACGUGGUAUCCUGUCUGAAUAUGGGGGGACCAUCCUCCAAGGCUAAAUACUCCUGACUGACCGAUAGUGAACCAGUACCGUGAGGGAAAGGCGAAAAGAACCCCGGCGAGGGGAGUGAAAAAGAACCUGAAACCGUGUACGUACAAGCAGUGGGAGCCCCACCACUAAGCCAGUGGUGAACUCCACAUACGCAUCCUUUGCUGAGGAUACGGUUAACGGAGCGAAAGCGACGUUCAACCUCAAAAGAAGCAGAGGGGGCUUAGUGGUGGGGUGACUGCGUACCUUUUGUAUAAUGGGUCAGCGACUUAUAUUCUGUAGCAAGGUUAACCGUAUAGGGGAGCCGGAGGGAAACCGAGUCUUAAC
This 755-nucleotide ribosomal RNA is filed under the name Salmonella enterica. RNAcentral describes it as "partial 23S ribosomal RNA". It matches the Rfam family "Bacterial large subunit ribosomal RNA", at positions 1 to 688 of the family's 2925-position model. Lineage: Bacteria; Pseudomonadati; Pseudomonadota; Gammaproteobacteria; Enterobacterales; Enterobacteriaceae. The record is from RNAcentral.